CCGCACGCUCAUCCUCCUCCGCCCACCCCCUGUAUCGCCGCCGCCGCUCCCCGUCCCCUCUCACACGAGCCGCCGUUGCCGCUUCGCGUUCCCCUCGCGGUGCCCUUGCCUCCCUCUCUCGCGCGCCAGACGCGAUUCCCUCGCCCAAAACAGAUCGCGGCCGGUUCCUCCCUCCCCACGCGAGUUCUUGCCCCUCCGCCCCGGCGCCGACGCAUCCUGGCACCCGUUCCUACACCGGCGGCAUGAGUCACCAAGUAAAAGGCGCCAGCGGCUGAGGCUCGUGCACCUGGCGGCCUUCUCUUUCUUCUGCUUCAGCUCCUCCCAACUGGCAGCGUCCGACGCCGGGAACUCACGCUCGCCGACUCCGCCCGCGACUUUGGUCGCGCAGACUUCUCCAGAUUCGUGCGGCGAGCGUGGUUGAGGUGGCGGCGCCGCCUAGGAACAACGCAUGCUCCAGGAGGCGUUGUCGGCCCCACGCACCCUCGUCGAUAGCGGAAUAGGGGCCAAGCGGGUGGCGUUGGCGGCGGGGAUGGCGGAGCUGGUCUAUGUCGUGCUCUUGGGUGGCCCUCCUCGGCAUCGAGUGACACAGCCGGGGCGGCACUGAGGCAGCAACGGAUGCUGGGUGAAGAGGACGAGGCCAACAAGGGGGAAGAGAGGUGGCCGGAGAGGGCGCUAGCGACCUAAGGGGAGGCCGCAGCGGUGAUGGCGAGAAUGGAGGGGUUUGCGGUAUGCAGAGACACUCGGCAUGUGGCCGCUCGGGGAGAUUGCCUUAGGGAUCAACCACUACAUGCGCAACUAGGUUUCAGCCCAAGGUACCCACAGAAGGCUAAGACUUACUGAGUUCUUUACAUGCCUUCAACAUAAACGUUUAAUGUUGGAUACACAUAUUCAGUUAUACUUGCACAACAUCAUAAUUCCAUCAGUGAGCCAUCUUCCAAUUGUGAAAUCUGGGACUCUGGAGCGAAUAGCGAUGACGAGAAAUGAUGGGGCCCAGAGGGUUACUCAAAGGCCAAUUUGAUGGUGGUAAGCUCUACCUGUAUAUUUAAUUAGGUUCAGGCUUUUCCCACCAAAGGGUUCAGAACAGAGAAAUAAUAUUGUAACUUCAAAAUAUUCUACUGAUGUUUGAUGAAAAGAACAUUGCUCAGUAACAUACAAUAUGUCUGUUUUCCUUGUAAUCAAUUCGAAGAACAUUUCAGAAAGUUGAACUCUAAGCUUCUAUAGAUGCUAGGCAUGCUAGACUGAUUUGGCUCGUGGAUAUGUGAUGCAUUUUACAGCAAUGCUACCAUGGUAGGAGUGAAAGAGGAUUACAUAAGGUACACUGAAACAGUUUCUCUCUUAAGUUGGAAAUGUGGGAGUAAAUGAAUGUGGUUUUCAUGCCUGAUCAAUCUUCGGCCUUGCUGAUGCCUGAUGUAUGCCAUCAAUCAUGCACUUCAUUGGUUUUGAAGCGAAGCUUUUAUCCUUUUUUGUCCUUCUCAGUUCAUUUUCCAGUAUAUAAUAAUAGUUCUUUUCUUUUCCGCGUGUUACCAGAAAUUAAUGAUAUGGAUGAUUUCCCAGUAUCUUAGUUAUAUAUGUACACUUGAAGGUGAUGCUUAUGGUACAAAUUUUCCGUUGCUGUA
This is a long non-coding RNA of Panicum virgatum (switchgrass), 1616 nucleotides long. RefSeq lists it as uncharacterized. The transcript is spliced from 3 exons. The record is from RefSeq and is a predicted model, not a curated record. Lineage: Eukaryota; Viridiplantae; Streptophyta; Magnoliopsida; Poales; Poaceae.